This 425-nucleotide ribosomal RNA is filed under the name uncultured bacterium. RNAcentral's name for it is "bacterial SSU rRNA". It matches the Rfam family "Bacterial small subunit ribosomal RNA", at positions 355 to 773 of the family's 1533-position model. The record is from RNAcentral.
UGGGGAAUAUUGGACAAUGGGCGAAAGCCUGAUCCAGCAAUGCCGCGUGUGUGAAGAAGGCCUUCGGGUUGUAAAGCACUUUAGGCCGGGAAGAAAAAGCUUCACCUAAUACGUGGAGCCUUGACGGUACCGGCGGAAUAAGCACCGGCUAACUCUGUGCCAGCAGCCGCGGUAAUACAGAGGGUGCUAGCGUUAAUCGGAUUUACUGGGCGUAAAGCGUGUGUAGGCGGUUUGUUAAGUCGGGUGUGAAAUCCCUGGGCUCAACCUGGGAAUUGCAUUCGAUACUGGCAAGCUAGAGUACGGUAGAGGGCGGCGGAAUUCCGGGUGUAGCGGUGAAAUGCGUAGAUAUCCGGAGGAACACCGAUGGCGAAGGCAACCGCCUGGGCCUGUACUGACGCUGAGACACGAAAGCGUGGGGAGCAAAC